Long non-coding RNA from Capsicum annuum, 1216 nucleotides. RefSeq lists it as uncharacterized. The record is from RefSeq and is a predicted model, not a curated record. Lineage: Eukaryota; Viridiplantae; Streptophyta; Magnoliopsida; Solanales; Solanaceae. The transcript has 2 exons.
CAAAACAGUAGUAACACGUUCAGCGACCCCCAAACCUGAUUUCAAGCCGAACAGCUAAAUACCCAGUAUCCAACCCGAUUCAGACCUAUUUCAACCCCUACCCGACAAGACCUGAUUAACAGCUUCAACAUAAUAGCCGAUCAGCAACACAGCCAACGAUGGUGACUCGAGUUCGACCCGAAUCUGACCCAAAAAAGCCCCAACAGCUCGUGUCUCAUCCAAACGUAUAUUUCUUUCCACCCUCACAUGAUUAACAUGAUUUUUAGUACUAAAUCAGCCUCAAAACUUCUAAAAUUUUGCUAAGUGGCAGCCAAGUCAAUUUUCAAAGAAUAUUCCCCAAGAAAUCCAUUGGGAAUUUGUUGAUUUCAUACUACGAAAAUACAAGUGCGUCCAAUUUCUAUUGGUUGGGGAAAAAUCCAUUUUCCCCAAUAUUCACCAAAAAUUGAAUUUUCUUGCAAAAACCCAAAAAAAAAUCAGGGGGAAAUGGAAGAGAUUUUUUGUUUCUAUCCAAAUUUUGAAAAAAUCUUAGUUUAAAAAUCCCAAUUUACCAUUUAAUUUCCCUUGAUCCUACAUCGUUCAAACCUGAAGGAGGACCCUCAAUUAUUCUCUACAUAAGAGCUCACAGUUGAGCAGGGGGGUCCGCAAAAAAAAAGGAGGGAAAUUUUAUUUUGAUAGCAAAAACGAGAGAAAAAAAGGGAAAAAGCUGGUCGUGAGAAUAGAAGAAAAUUUUCUUCGGUAAAAAAUGUAGGAAAGGUAGUCAGCUAGUCAAGAUUUUCAUAGCGGCAUUGAAUUUUUUUGGUGGUGGUGAAGUCCAAAGGAGCUCGAAGUUCUAUUUUUCUGCUCCCGAACGGCUGAAAAUUUUGAUCGAAAAAAGAGAAAAAUCAUGCGACCCUAUCAAGGAAUGAAGUGGAUCAGAUGAUGAUAAUCAAUUGCUAUAUUGGCUAAAAAUUUAAGGUUAUGCGUUCAAUUAUAAUUCGUAGGAAUUAUAUACGACACUAAACUGAUGAUAUGUAUUUUCUUAUUUGCUUUGGACUUAAAGCUGUUCUUCUUCAUUUUCUUUCUCCAUGAAUUACAAGCAGAAGAAGAAAAAUUAAUUUUUGAAAAAGAAAGGCGAAGAAAAGACUAUCAUUGCCAUGUCCAAAGAAUCACACUUACACAUUGAUAAUUUUUGUUUCUGCAAAUUUCUAAACUUUGUUUUCUAUAAUUUUCAUUUUCA